GAUCUCUUUAACCAUAGUGGAUGAUUAUGUUGUGUAGAAUGUGGGAACAGAAGGCAAGAGUGAGUCAUGUUGGUUGUGGUUGUCCUGUGAAAUUUAUCGGUUUACCAGGGUGAUACAUGGCAUCCAGCGAUGCACAGGACCUCCCUGUGUGGUCCAUGCUCAGCAGGGUCCUUCUGCACUGGCUGCACGGGCAUUUCAUCAGAAAAAAAGUAUCCCACAUGAAUAGCAGUGAAAAACCAAGCCUGGGAGACAAGAUCACUUGCACUGAGCCUGUUAGGUGUAAGGAGCUUAGGUGUAAGGAGCAUUUGUAAGGAAAGCUGAGCACCAUACUGCGUAGUGUUCUCUUCAUGAGACUCCUUGAAAUCAAAAGCCUCAAAGGGUGAAGAAGGCCAUGAACCCAAGAAACAGGUGAAUCAAAGGCAAAGUAGUUGCUUGAAGAGGAGGAAACUUGAAAUCAAGGUUGCAGGAAACCAGGGUUCCUAAUAGGAUAAUGCAGGUAAUACUAUCACACAACACUAAGACAAUACAGAGCUAAUUAGCUCAAAUAUUUGCUGACAAUGUGGGUUUUGAGGAGAGGGGGGCAUGGGCUUUCAUAAAACUUAAUUAACUCAUAGAGGAAAUCAGUUUCAUUCAUUGCCACAACAGAGCCAAUCAAGAUAGACUUACUGUUUGCUCAUUUGGAAAACAAUUAGGAUUCCUAUUUAGACUUAAUUACAGUGCAAAGGUUGACAAUUAUCAUCUUUGUGGAAGCACUGGAUGCCACAAUAUCUCUGUUGAACACGUGCCUAUAAUUAUAGACAUCAUUUUCUUAGCAGAAAAUGUAACCCAUUUAUUACCUGGAUUUCAUGCCUGUAAUCAGAGAUAGUAGAAAUAAUUAAAAAAAAAAAAAAAAAAAAGAAAAAAGAAGGUGGGUGGUGCUAAAUUAUUUUGGAUCUUUCCAUAGUGAAUUACUUUGUGCAACUCUUUGCUACUAAUUGAAAACUUGGUUUGUACGUUAUACUCCUCAUGGAAGGAGGAAUAGACGUACAGAGGAAUCAAACUAGCCACAUGGUCAUAUUUUGACACUGCUGACAAUGUCACUGCCUUAAAUUGGUUUGGUUCAUAAACCCUUCCUGAUACCUCCCUCAAGUUUGCUGUGUUACACAGGUGCAUACUUAUCAUCCAAAUCAUUGCAGAAACAAGCUGUUGCGAGAAACUUGAUCAGUCACUUUAGAAAAUCAUGGCUUGAUCUGAGCCAGAACUGAAUAGACUUAGCCUGUUGACCAAAAUAAACCACAUUAAUAUUAAAGUUUGCAAGAAGUGUUUGACUACAGUCGUGUUUAAUACUGCAAAACACAAAUGAUAAACAGGUUGAGAUUCCUCCCAUUUGCCAGCCCAGAUCCCUCCAGGAGAUGGUUUCAAUUCAUUGCAUCCAGGGGCUGCACCACAGCUGAGAUAAGAGAAAAAGAAAGUUCAAAACGUUUUACAGAUGUUAAUUACAGAUAAGGCAGGAGGUAAGAUGAGGAUGUAAGAAACCCAAGCUUGCUUCAGUCAGAUUUGUAACUGUCCCUGGGUCUCUGUUUAUUCCAUGGGCUCAUAAAGAAGCUGUGGGAGAGGGACAUUUGCAGGGAGCAGCGACGGCUUAGUGUAAUGCCAAGCACUGAACAGGCAUCACGUUUUACAACAAAGCUGAAUUAGUUCCUUCCCUUAGUUUCAGUGGCAUUUCUUUCCAAGCCAGGGUGAGGUGGAAGAACACAGGACUCCAACCUUCUUAUGCUUGCAUUGCAUGGGAUGUAUCUGAUCCUAGAGUAACACCUGGACCUCCUGGGGAAAUGUUGUAUGCCUGUGUCUGGAUGAGAUGGAAAGCAGUUUUCAAAUCUCAGUUCACCUGAUGGAUGUGGAAAGGAAGCCAGGGGAGAUGAGGACACCCUACCAGAAACAAGUUGCCUUCUCAUUCUUAGUAUACAAGAAAUCUCCGUUGUCCAGAUGACAGUAACAGCAAAACCUAUUUCAUGAUCCUGUCCCAUGAAGAAGCUCGUCCUAGGAGGGGAGCCCGUUGCCUUUGGUACGCUGAGCCUGGCCGUUCCCACCGAAGCCUGAUUUCAUGUGAGAUUGUCGAGUACAUCAAAGCAGAAGGACGACAAAUGAUCUGAAGUGUUCUCCUGAGAGCCUGACUUGCUGCUUCAAGAAAUUUGUUCGGGCUUCCAUUAUCACUGUGCCAGUGUGAGAUGAAAUGUGAAGACAAGGCAGUUCACAGUUUUAAGAGGAUUUUCCUUGAGCCCCAUUUCUUCACUGCUGCCACAAGCAUGAGUAUCUUUGAGACAUUCUCUUUGGAAGGCCAAAAUGUUCCAAAACUUUCAGGCAAAGCUCAAUUUCCAUCUUCUGAGAUAUUUUUCAAUCAUCACUGUUAUUUCAGACUUGUUUCUUUCGAUGGAGCAGACAUAGAUGAGGGGGGAAAAUUGUUAAUAAGAACAGCAGACAACAGCAGAAAACAGCAGACAGGACAUUGCAGACUGUAUCUGUCUCAUGAAAUGCUAUUUGCUGCCAACACAUCCCAGUAAAGAAAGUCUGGUCUACCCUGGAAUAAAUGAGAAAAAUAAAGUGAAGAGACACUUUCAGGUAUGUCCUGAGAAGCUCUACUGAGUAACACAGUUUGAAUCUUUGACAUUUUUUAUUGCAUCUCGGUAGCUACUUUCAUUUCAGGCAGGAAAUUGGUAGUUUGACUGUCUUUUAUUUCCAUUUACCACUACAGCAAAAUUGAACCUUUGAUUUUUUGGAACUAUACCAUCUCCAAGAGAAAUCAGUAGCUAACAUUGUCAUUCAGACAAACACAAAGCAGAGCUGGUUUGAGUUUUGCAAAGCCUACGGGGACAUUUUGACAUGCAGAAAUGAAUACCCAAAUGCCCUUGGCUGCCUCGGGGAUUUCCGGCAGCGUCUGCAGGAUGAGAGGGAAGAAUUCCAGGGUUAAAAACAGCUGAAAAUGUUCCAUCAUAGUGUCCCAGCCUAGUGAGACUCUUUAGUCUCACUCAUCUUACAUGGAUUUAAGCUUGUGCUUGUUAAGGUUAGAUGCUAAAUUCAGCAGCAACCCACUGCUUUUCCAAGAGGACUGUAGCUCCUUUUCUUACUUGGGAAUUAUUUGGGAAGUAAACCUAGACUCUUUCAAGUCUUUUCUUCCAAUAUUCAUUAACAAGUUUAGACGACAUACUCUCUGAUUCAACUGUUUCCUAUUCAAUUUACGUGACGAGUGAACUAAGCCACACAAUGUAAUUCUUUUUCCCAGAUUUGGAUGACUGCAACACGCUGAAGAAGAAAAUUUUCACCUUGUUUACUUGUAAGAGUUUUGAAUGAUCGGUUGCUUAUGUCAAAGGAAUUAGCAAAGGGAUUUAUCAACAUACUUGCACAGAUCCCCACUUGUCAGGAUAUGUGGGAGCUAAAACUCCAUGAGUCAGUGCAAACUCAGGACUCCAUGCCAUGAGAGUGUGUCCUCAUGCAACUAGAGCAGCUUGAAGCACCGUGCACACCCUGACCUGAUCAGGAGGUAUAAAUAACCCUCCUUGUGAAACACAUUUAGCCACAGACAGCAUCAAAGUUUACGUGGGACCUGAAAGAGAUAGCCAAACCUCAACAGGAUCAAAAGUUAGAUAAACAUCCUAACGCUCAGAUACUAACGUGAGUGCUCUCCAAACCUGUCCAAGCCAUCUGGGCCCAGCUUAUUAACCCAGCAGUAUCAUGAGAAAUGGUUUUCUCACAAGGUUUCUGAUGCUUCCUCUUGUUUGACAGGCAGGAAAUACCAUGAGAAGAGCUUUUCUUGCUGGAGUUCAUCAUUUUCGGUAUGAGAGGCCAUCAGGAAGUGCAGAGGCAGCGCAAAAAUGAAAAACAGUGUGCUGGGGUUGGGAUGUAGGGGGAGAAAGGAUAUCAAGAAGGAAAGUUAAUCAAGUUAACAGGAUAGUCUUCAGAGGCAUUGGCACAUGUGGGAAUGGGCUGCUGUGCCGGGCGGUAGCGGGAUGUGGUUCUGGAAGAGCAACUCGCCCCACUUGUUCAUCCAGCCCAGGUAAUAACAUUUCCCUGUGACUGAGGAAUGCAGCAGGAUGAGAAACUCUGUUGAAAUGAGAAGCUGCAAGUGCAGCUCUAAGACAAACUUUGCAGCUCUAAAAAGAAUUUUCUACGUAAGGAUCUCAAAUCAGUAACGUGAAUCUUGAUGAUGUUGUCACUUCACAGUGUACUGGGAAGGCUCAUCAUCCACUGUAUUUUUAAAUUAUCAUUUAUUUUUUAUUUUGCAGGGUUCUAAUUAAACACUGGGCUACCUACUAACAUAUCUGGCAUCAUCUCAUUGCUCCAGGGUGACAGGAGAGCAGCAAUGGCCUCUGGUGAUGGAUUCAGCAGUGUACAGCUGUGCAGGUUUGCUACAGCAUGAGCAAACGGAGGAUUCUUUGUGUGCAAGUCUCAGGCUGUGUACACAUGUGCGUGAACUCUCCAAAAGCAAACAACUAGCCUUUGUGAAGCCAAAUUCCAAACAAGAAACCAGCUCAGCAGCUGUGAAAGGUGUCUCUGUGUUUCAUUGUUGAUAAAAGUACAACCCACGGUGACUCAAACCUCAGGAUGUGGUGGGAAGCUGAGAAGAAAAGAAAGAUAGAGUGAGGGGAGAAAGGGAAAAAAAAACGCUCUUCUCAGGAUGAGGAGUUCAGACACGCCAGAUUUCUUUGGCUCAGGCAUUGCUGUCAUGAGCCUUGCAGACGUUUAGUGUUUGAUUCCCUGGUUUCUUUUCACUUGGCACUGAGUGUGAGGAUUUUGAAAACAGUAUCGCAAAGUGUGUUAAAUUGCAAAGCUGACCUUUGAGUGCCACAAACAGCAUCUCCUUUGAAUGCUACAGAUUGACAGUGCAGGCAGGAACCUGUCGGGUGAUGGCUGUCACCAAUCUGUCAUUAACCUGCAUUCGCCCACUGUGGCAUAAAUGUCGAUGAUUGUUUUCCUCCACUCCAGCUCUUUCUUGAACACUUCUGGGAAAGCAGAAGGCAGCCACCUGAAGGACAGGGACUUGGCAUGGAAAAGGGGAAAGGGAAAAUGUAGUCUGGAAGCUGGAUACUAAAAGUAGGCAUUGAUUUCCUGUCAGAGAGGUGAAGUUCAAAUUUGCUACGUUGCUUGGGCUUGAAAGGCAUUUAGCCAGUUCUUGGGACUACCAGGCGUGCUGUGUUCAGAUGCAAUAAAGCUUCAGGAUUCGUUCUGGGGCCCCAGGUUUCACUGCACCAGCUCCAGCCAUCUGACUUAGACCCAACUUCUUGCUGAAGCACCAAGAGUGACUUGAAGCUUGGUGGCUUCCUAUGAUGCUGUUGUCAGAUAUUUAGCUCUAGAAGCACCAGCUCAGGCAUGAGGAAGGAACAGAAAUUAUCUGUAGCAGAUAGUACCCAAGCAGCAGAACAGGUAUUUUUGCUACUGGACAUGUGUCUCCUGCACUUUCAGCGAUAGAGGAGUGCAGUUACAAUGUGAAUGAAUUGAGAGCAGAACGAUGUAAAGGAUGAAGAAGGUAAGAAAUUGAGCAAAUCGUGCGUAGGCUGUAUGGGCAUUUACUGCUGGGCAUAAUAAGGGAUCUUAUACGCACACACACUACGUGUGUGUGGAUACAACACAUACAUAAAAUAAAUGUGUUUGUUUAUCAGUGCAUUUCCUGAGUAGCUGUGGUUUUUUAAUAGCACUAUACCUUUAUCUCUACAAAUGAAUAACACUAUUAGGUUUGAUCUCUAAUUAUAUUCCGAACACCAAUAAACCCCCCAACAUUUCUGGUUGUCUUUAAGUAGAAUAAAAGCCAAACAAAAUCACCAAAAGAAAACAAGGUGGUUGGUGGAGUCUCACUACCCACUUGUUGGUGGUCAGGAGUAGAACUGAGUAAAUAAAUUAUUACAGCCAUUUGAUGAUUGCAGACCUGUCUAAUUUUUCUCAGUAUCCUGUGAACAGACUUUAUUUUUUGUACAUAUUUAUAUUCUUUGAAAUUUUUGAUACAUAUUUUGGAUAAACACUGCUAGUAAAGUAGUUUUUAGCUGUAUUCAGGGCUGUUAGUGGUAUUUGUGUGACAUUCAGUACGUCCUUUAAAUCAUGUGGUACUUUAUGUGCUUAUACUUAGCUGAAAACACCAUAAAACAGAGGGUGAAAAAAAUCAGAGAUUUUUACAUCAUCAUAUAGGCACUUGCCUAAAUUGUUGAAUGGCUGCAAGGGUGGACAGUAUCACCCAGUACUGUUUCAGUAAAAAGAAAUGGGUGGUUUUAAUCCUUCAUAAAUGAUACAUUUUUUUCCAAAUCAUUAUAAGGUUUUAGUUAAUUUUUAAUGGUGCAAUAAUCUUCAAAGAUAUUUUACCUUCACUCAUUUCUUGUUGGGAUGACUUCCAUAGGAACAAAGAAGCCCCUUGCUGUAAGGCAACUGUCUCUGGGGUGAAGCACUUCUGGUGAACUCCAGCACAGAAGCAAAACAGAUCUGUGCCUGAAACUCCUUUCCGUACCAGUCUCCCCUGCUCAUUUUCCCAAGAAAAUCCUUCAUCGUCUACAAUGAUGUAAAAUAUUUGUAUAACAGUGGUAUGUUAUGUACAUACAUGACCAUGGCAAGAUGUAAUAGCAUCUCCUCAUCUUUUGAAGUUUUUCCUCCCUCCAUACUCUCCAUGGUUUUAUUCCUGGCGGGCUGGCAAAGCCUCUCUGGUCUCUGUGUUGCAGCAGAUGAGAAGUAGAGGGUAACUUAUGCACUGGCCACUCACAGAUGCCAAUGGUCCUUGUAUAUGUGGCCUACAUAUCCUAACCAACCAACCUACCUACCUGAAAAUGAGCAAGGCAAAGCAAGACCAUCCAGGCUGGGGCAUCCCUAGAGCUAUUCCCAUCUUUCCUCUAUAGAUCUUCUGGCCCUGCUGGCAGUAUGGUUCUAAGGCAACAUCAUUUCUCCCUGUCUUUGCAACAGUCUUGGCUUUCUGGGUGUAUGUUAAAGACUGCCUGGUAGGGCAAAUGAACCAUCUGUGGCAUAGAUGAACACAUGCAAUGAAUGAGCUACUAAUUUAAUCUGGUGAUUAAGGAGGAUUAUUUCUCAUACCAGCUCUUUACAAGCAACAAGUUGACAUGAUUCCCUCCCCCUGAGUCUGUUUCCAGUUCUACUCCUGCUAUUUUACUUCUUUACUUCAGUCACAUCCUUUCCUAAAAGGUCUCUAGUACCUAACAUUUAAUUCACACGUUGUUCCCUUGUAUCUUCUGUGUGCAUGAAUUAAACUAUUGUAAACAACAGCAGCUUAUCUCUUCUCCUUUAUUGAAUCUGGAGUUUGUUAAUACAUCCAUUAGCCUUAUAUCACAGAAAACAAUUAACCAAUGUGUUUGAUCUUAAAAGAAUCAAUUUAUCUUAGUUAAGUGUUUGUGUCUCACAGCACAAAGCCUUGCACAGCACACCUCUGGUCCAGAGUCCUUCUGCAGCACCAAGAACAUCCUUUAGAUCAUACAAGAAAGGCAUACCUGACAUUUUGUGAUAAAUUGAAAUGCAUUUCACAGCACUCUCUGGCAUACACUGUAACUAAGAUCAACAUCUCUAAGUGUAUAAUAAUGCAGAUGAUGAUGAUAAUGAUGGUACUGCUGCUCACCUAUUUGCUGCAGGAAAAGAGUUGACUGCAAGAUGUACUAUGAGGGUUCCUGUAUGUUUGCUCUUUGCUUUCUUAAUGGAAAGGAAAAGGAAAACAAAAACUGAGGACUCAAGAUGGAAGAAAACAAAGCAGAUCCUGAAGCAAAACCCACAACAUCUUUCCCAAAAACAAAUAAACAUCGGUAUUAUUAUUUAUUGCAAUACCAGCCCCUUUUUGACAAGCGCUGCUCUGCAAAGGUGUGCCUUUCCUGGAGUUACGCUGGGACCCAUGCACUCCACGAUCUCAGCCUUUUCUCUGGGACAAGAAAAGAAAACAUUGAACCAUGAGCACACGAGGGUAUUUUCUGGGCAGCGCAAACUUCUUAGGAGGCAGCCACAUAUAUUAAAGCAAAACUACUACAAAUGUCUUGUCUUUUAUGCUGAUUACUCUAACUGAGAACAUUCCCUGGUUUAUGCUGCCUGCUCUGACAGAAGAGUAACUGCAGUAAAGGCAAGAAAUUCUUCUGUUCAUGUCCAAGGUUAAGGCAAUCUGUAGGAAAGAAUGCAAAUGACAGAGAAAUGAGCAUCUAAUUUCAGCAAGGUCUGAAUCAUUAUCUGCAACAUUUUGGAUGAUUCAGCAUAUUUCCUGGCUUUUAAAAAUUAUUUUAAUUUUUUUUUUUAAUUCAAGACUCUCACUUUUUUUCUCUGCUGUAUCUGAAGCUGUAGUCCUAUUUUUCAUCUUGUUGACUCUAGGAUAAAUCAGGUCUAGGUAUGUUGGAGGUCUAGUACUGGAGAAACACUGGGGUGAAAUGGGACUGAGGAGAGACCCAUCACUUGGUGUUACGUGUCUCCAGAUCACGGCAGAGACUAUAGGCUGGGAAUAAGUAGUGCAUGUUGAAAAAUCCUUAAGAAAUACUGCAGCUUUUUAGAUGAAAGGGCUGGAGUUUGGGGUUAAUGGCUGUGGCAAUAAAAAGAAUGGAAACAAAUGUAAUUGCAAACAAGAAUCUCUUCCAAGGAGAAGCCUUUCUUCUUCCCCAGCUUGAAUAUGGAAAUCUAUUGCUCCUCACUGGAAAACAAAGCUGUGAAUGCAUUAUUAAAAACUGGACUGAUUAAUGUCUUAACCUUUUGAUUUAAACGUGAGAGCAGAGCUUUUAAGAUUAAGUAUAUUAAUUGUUCCACUGAUAUGUGAUAUUUGCUAUUGAGGGUUGAAUGUUUGAAAGCAGUUUCAAUUUUUUUUAGUCACAAUCUACUACAGAGGCAAUUAAUUAUAAGCACAAGCUAGAGGCAAGAGGGGAGAGAGAAAAGGAACAGCUGGAGUAGGUAGCAAAAAGAGAGUAGUGGGAGGAAAUGAAAUGGAAAAAUAUACAUAACCACAUUUGCUGGAGAAAAGUAUAAACUUGAGUUCUUUGAAAAUGUUCUUGUUGACAUGAACGUGGAAUUUUUAUUCACCAUCAUUUCUUUCUCCAAAAGUAUAGCUUUUUACUUGAAAUCUCUGUAUUUCACAUAAUUUAAAUUCUAAGGAAUCUUCAUUCCCUGGUGUUCCCCCAGAUGUGUGAGAUGAAAGCUAAAAUACCUGGCUUUAAUAAAAAUUGAAUGAAAACUCCAAAUCCAUAGCAAAUAUUACCGAUCACCUGUAAAAUUAUAAAAACAUGUUUUCAUGCUCUUA
Columba livia (rock pigeon) is the source of this 9220-nucleotide long non-coding RNA. RefSeq lists it as uncharacterized. The record is from RefSeq and is a predicted model, not a curated record. The transcript has 7 exons. NCBI's taxonomy places the organism in Eukaryota, Metazoa, Chordata, Aves, Columbiformes, Columbidae.